GACGAACGCUGGCGGCGUGCCUAAUACAUGCAAGUAGAACGCUGAAGGAGGAGCUUGCUUCUCUGGAUGAGUUGCGAACGGGUGAGUAACGUGUAGGUAACCUGCCUGGUAGCGGGGGAUAACUAUUGGAAACGAUAGCUAAUACCGCAUAAUAGUAGAUGUUGCAUGACAUUUGCUUAAAGGUGCAAUUGCAUCACUACCAGAUGGACCUGCGUUGUAUUAGCUAGUUGGUGGGGUAACGGCUCACCAAGGCGACGAUACAUAGCCGACCUGAGAGGGUGGACGGCCAAACUGGGACUGAGACACGGCCCAGACUCCUACGGGAGGGAGCAGGAGGGGAUCUUCGGCAAUGGACGGAAGGCUGAACGAGCAACGCCGCGGGAGUGAAGAAGGGUUUCGGAUCGUAAAGCUCGGUUGUAAGAGAAGAACGAGUGUGAGAGUGGAAAGUUCACACUGUGACGGUAUCUUACCAGAAAGGGACGGCUAACUACGUG
This 494-nucleotide ribosomal RNA is filed under the name uncultured bacterium. Its description in RNAcentral is "partial 16S ribosomal RNA". It matches the Rfam family "Bacterial small subunit ribosomal RNA", at positions 28 to 507 of the family's 1533-position model. The record is from RNAcentral.